AACGAUGAUUAAGAGCUUGCUCUUAUGAUUAGUGGCGCACGGGCGAGUAAUAUAUAGGUAAUGUACCUCUUAGUCUGGGAUAGCCACUGGAAACGGUGAUUAAUACUGGAUACUCCUUUUCAUUUCAAGAUGAAUCGGGAAAGUUUUCGGUCAGGGAUGGGCCCGCGGCCUAUCAGCUAGUUGGUGAGGUAGUGGCUCACCAAGGCGACGACGGGUAGCCGGCCUGAGAGGGCGACCGGCCACACUGGGACUGAGACACGGUCCAGACUCC
Molecule: ribosomal RNA, 271 nt
Filed under: unidentified marine bacterioplankton
Lineage: Bacteria
Description: partial 16S ribosomal RNA
Rfam family: Bacterial small subunit ribosomal RNA
Source: RNAcentral